GAUGAACGCUAGCGGCAGGCCUAACACAUGCAAGUCGAGGGGCAGCACGUCUUCGGAUGGUGGCGACCGGCGCACGGGUGCGUAACGCGUAUGCAACCUACCUCUUACAGUGGGAUAGCCCAGAGAAAUUUGGAUUAAUACCGCAUAGUAUACAGAUUCAGCAUUGGGACUGUAUUAAACAUUUAUGGGUAAGAGAUGGGCAUGCGUUCUAUUAGUUAGUUGGAGUGGUAACGGCACCCCAAGACAGCGAUAGAUAGGGGCCCUGAGAGGGGGAUCCCCCACACUGGUACUGAGACACGGACCAGACUCCUACGGGAGGCAGCAGUGAGGAAUAUUGGACAAUGGGGGAAACCCUGAUCCAGCAAUGCCGCGUGCGUGAAGAAGGCCUUAGGGUUGUAAAGCGCUUUCACCUGUGAUGAUGAUGACAGUAGCAGGAGAAGAAGCCCCGGCUAACUCCGUGCCAGCAGCCGCGGUAAAGUCGUACGA
RNAcentral lists this ribosomal RNA (486 nucleotides) under uncultured bacterium. Its description in RNAcentral is "bacterial SSU rRNA". It matches the Rfam family "Bacterial small subunit ribosomal RNA", at positions 28 to 532 of the family's 1533-position model. The record is from RNAcentral.